ACUUUUUUAGUAUAAUAAAAUUAUAUUUGACUUCCAAUCAAAAGAUCUUUUUAAGAAAAAGUA
Molecule: transfer RNA, 63 nt
Filed under: Stethoconus japonicus
Lineage: Eukaryota; Metazoa; Arthropoda; Insecta; Hemiptera; Miridae
Description: tRNA-Gly
Source: RNAcentral